This 497-nucleotide ribosomal RNA is filed under the name uncultured bacterium. RNAcentral's name for it is "partial 16S ribosomal RNA". It matches the Rfam family "Bacterial small subunit ribosomal RNA", at positions 28 to 507 of the family's 1533-position model. The record is from RNAcentral.
GAUGAACGCUGGCGGCGUGCCUAAUACAUGCAAGUAGAACGCUGAAGGAAGGAGCUUGCUCUUUCCAGAUGAGUUGCGAACGGGUGAGUAACGCGUAGGUAACCUGCCUGGUAGCGGGGGAUAACUAUUGGAAACGAUAGCUAAUACCGCAUAACAGUAGAUGUUGCAUGAUAUCUACUUAAAAGGUGCAAUUGCACCACUACCAGAUGGACCUGCGUUGUAUUAGCUAGUUGGUGAGGUAACGGCUCACCAAGGCGACGAUACAUAGCCGACCUGAGAGGGUGAUCGGCCACACUGGGACUGAGACACGGCCCAGACUCCUACGGGAGGCAGCAGUAGGGAAUCUUCGGCAAUGGACGGAAGUCUGACCGAGCAACGCCGCGUGAGUGAAGAAGGUUUUCGGAUCGUAAAGCUCUGUUGUAAGAGAAGAACGAGUGUGAGAGUGGAAAGUUCACACUGUGACGGUAUCUUACCAGAAAGGGACGGCUAACUACGUG